RNAcentral lists this ribosomal RNA (1244 nucleotides) under metagenome. RNAcentral's name for it is "bacterial LSU rRNA". It matches the Rfam family "Bacterial large subunit ribosomal RNA", at positions 1564 to 2817 of the family's 2925-position model. The record is from RNAcentral.
UGACGACGAGACGCUGAGGCGUCGAAGCAGUGUACGUCAGACUUCCAAGAAAAGCUCGCAAUGUCAUAAAUAAAAACUGCCUGUACCAUAACCGACACAGGUGGGUAGGUAGAGUAUACUAAGGGGCGCGAGAUAACUCUCUCUAAGGAACUCGGCAAAAUGACUCCGUAACUUCGGGAGAAGGAGUGCCUUAUUUAUAAGGUUGCAAUAACAAGAUCCAAGCAACUGUUUAUCAAAAACACAGGUCUCCGCUAAGUCGUAAGACGAUGUAUGGGGGCUGACGCCUGCCCAGUGCCAGAAGGUUAAAGAAGUUGGUUAGUGUAUGCGAAGCUGAUGACUGAAGCCCUGGUGAACGGCGGCCGUAACGAUAACGGUCCUAAGGUAGCGAAAUUCCUUGUCGGGUAAGUUCCGACCCGCACGAAAGGCGUAAUGAUUUGGAUACUGUCUCGGAGAGAGGCUCGGUGAAAUAGACUUGUCUGUGAAGAUGCGGACUACCUGCACCAGGACAGAAAGACCCUAUGAAGCUUUACUGUAACUUGAAAUUGGAAUUGGACUUUGCUUGCGCAGUAUAGGUGGGAAGCGUUGAAGAUAUUCUUGCGGGAGUAUUGGAGCUAUCAGUGAGAUACCACUCUUGUAAUGUUAGAUUUCUAACUUUGAACCAUAAUCUGGUCAAAGAACAGUUUCAGGUGGGCAGUUUGACUGGGGCGGUCGCCUCCCAAAUGGUAACGGAGGCGUACAAAGGUUUCCUCUGAACGGAUAGAAAUCGUAUCUAGAGUGUAAAGGCAUAAGGAAGCUUGACUGUGAGACCUACAAGUCGAGCAGGGACGAAAGUCGGUCUUAGUGAUCUGACGGUACUGAGUGGAAAGGCCGUCACUCAACGGAUAAAAGUUACUCUAAGGAUAACAGGCUGAUCUCCCCCAAGAGUUCACAUCGACGGGGAGGUUUGGCACCUCGAUGUCGGCUCAUCGCAUCCUGGGGCGGUAGUACGUCCCAAGGGUUGGGCUGUUCGCCCAUGAAAGCGGUACGCGAGCUGGGUUCAGAACGUCGUGAGACAGUUCGGUCCAUAUCCGGUGUAGGCGUUAGAAUAUUGAGAGGAGCCUUCUUUAGUACGAGAGGACCGAGAAGGACACACCGCUGGUGUACCAGUUAUCGUGCCAACGGUAAACGCUGGGUAGCUAUGUGUGGAGUGGAUAACCGCUGAAAGCAUCUAAGUGGGAAGCCCACCUCAAGAUGAGUAUUCUCAU